Molecule: ribosomal RNA, 1236 nt
Filed under: uncultured bacterium
Lineage: Bacteria
Description: bacterial SSU rRNA
Rfam family: Bacterial small subunit ribosomal RNA
Source: RNAcentral
GAGCGGCGGACGGGUGAGUAAUGCCUAGGAAUCUGCCUGGUAGUGGGGGAUAACGUUCGGAAACGGACGCUAAUACCGCAUACGUCCUACGGGAGAAAGCAGGGGACCUUCGGGCCUUGCGCUAUCAGAUGAGCCUAGGUCGGAUUAGCUAGUUGGUGAGGUAAUGGCUCACCAAGGCAACGAUCCGUAACUGGUCUGAGAGGAUGAUCAGUCACACUGGAACUGAGACACGGUCCAGACUCCUACGGGAGGCAGCAGUGGGGAAUAUUGGACAAUGGGCGAAAGCCUGAUCCAGCCAUGCCGCGUGUGUGAAGAAGGUCUUCGGAUUGUAAAGCACUUUUUGGAGGGAUGAGGAAGGACAGUACCUCCAGAAUAAGCCUCGGCUAACUACGUGCCAGCAGCCGCGGUAACACGUAGGAGGCAAGCGUUAUUCGGAUUUACUGGGCGUAAAGCGCGUGCAGGCGGUUUGGAAAGUUGGAUGUGAAAGCUCCUGGCUCAACUGGGAGAGGUCGUUCAAUACUUCCAGACUUGAGAGUGGUAGAGGGAGGUGGAAUUCCGGGUGUAGUGGUGAAAUGCGUAGAUAUCCGGAGGAACACCAGUGGCGAAAGCGGCCUCCUGGACCACUUCUGACGCUCAGACGCGAAAGCUAGGGUAGCAAACGAGAUUAGAGACCCCGGUAGUCCUAGCCGUAAACGAUGUGGAACUUGGCGUUGAUGGGUUUAAAUCCAUCAGUGCCGAAGCUAACGCGAUAAGUUCACCGCCUGGGGACUACGGCCGCAAGGUUAAAACUCAAAGGAAUUGACGGGGCCCCGCACAAGCAGCGGAGCGUGUGGUUUAAUUCGAUGCUACACGAAGAACCUUACCAGGGUUUGACAUGCAAGUGGUAGAGAAGCGAAAGCAGAUCGACCCCUCGGGGAGCUUGCACAGGUGCUGCAUGGCUGUCGUCAGCUCGUGUCGUGAGAUGUUCGGUUAAGUCCGCUAACGAGCGCAACCCCUGCCAUAUGUUACAUGUGUCAUAUGGGACUGCCGGUCUCAAACCGGAGGAAGGUGGGGAUGACGUCAAGUCAGCAUGGCCUUUAUAUCCUGGGCUACACACACGCUACAAUGGCCGGUACAAUAGGUUGCUAAAUCGCGAGAUGGAGCCAAUCCCCAAAACCGGCCUCAGUUCAGAUAAUAGGCUGCAACCCGCCUGCAUGAAGCCGGAGUUGCUAGUAACCGCAGGUCAGCCAUACUGCG